CGUAGGUGGCAAGCGUUUGUCCGGAUUUUACUGGGCGUAAAGAGCGCGCAGGCGCUGGGCAAGUCCGAUGUGAAAGCUUCCGGCUUAACUGGAAAAUUGCAUCGGAAACUGCUCAGCUUGAAGGUGGGAGAGGGUAGCGGAAUUCCCGGUGUAGUGGUGAAAUGCGUAGAUAUCGGGAGGAACACCAGUGGCGAAGGCGGCUACCUGGCCCAUUCUUGACGCUGAGGCGCGAAAGCUAGGGGAGCAAACGGGAUUAGAUACCCCGGUAGUCCUAGCCGUAAACGAUGAACACUAGGCGUAGUCGGUAUCGACCCCGGCUGUGCCGUAGCCAACGCAUUAAGUGUUCCGCCUGGGGAGUACGGCCGCAAGGCUA
Molecule: ribosomal RNA, 373 nt
Filed under: uncultured organism
Description: bacterial SSU rRNA
Rfam family: Bacterial small subunit ribosomal RNA
Source: RNAcentral